Molecule: ribosomal RNA, 497 nt
Filed under: uncultured bacterium
Lineage: Bacteria
Description: partial 16S ribosomal RNA
Rfam family: Bacterial small subunit ribosomal RNA
Source: RNAcentral
GAUGAACGCUGGCGGCGUGCCUAAUACAUGCAAGUCGAGCGAACAGACGAGGCGCUUGCUCCGCUGACGUUAGGCGCGGACGGGUGAAUAACACGUGUAUAACCUACCUAUAAGACUGGGAUAACCUCGGGAAACCGGAGCUAAUCCCGUAUAAUCUAUUGAACCGCAUGGUGCAAUAGUGAAAGACGGCUGUGCUGUCACUUCUCGAUGGAUCCGCGCCGCAUUAGCUAGUUGGUAAGGUAACGGCUUACGAAGGCAAGGAUGCGUAGCCGACCUGAGAGGGUGAUCGGCCACACUGGAGCGGAGCCGCGGUCCAGGCUCCUACGGGAGGCAGCAGUAGGCUACCGGCCGCAAUGGGCGAAAGCCUGACGGAGCAACGUCGCGUGAGUGAUGAAGGCCCUCCGAUCGUAAAACUCUGUUAUGAGGGAAGAACAAAUGUGUACGUAGCUAUGCACGGCGUGACGGUACCUAAUCAGAAAGCCACGGCUAACUACGUG